CAGCCGCCACGGGAAUACGGAGGGGGCUAGCGCUGUUCGGAAUUACUGGGCGUAAAGCGCACGUAGGCGGACGGAGAAGUCAGAGGUGAAAUCCCAGGGCUCAACCUUGGAACUGCCUUUGAAACUUUCUGUCUUGAGGUCGAGAGAGGUGAGUGGAAUUCCGAGUGUAGAGGUGAAAUUCGUAGAUAUUCGGAGCAACACCAGUGGCGAAGGCGGCUCACUGGCUCGAUACUGACGCUGAGGUGCGAAAGCGUGGGGAGCAAACAGGAUUAGAUACCCCAGUAGUCCCUGUCUCUUAUAC
RNAcentral lists this ribosomal RNA (301 nucleotides) under uncultured bacterium. RNAcentral describes it as "partial 16S ribosomal RNA". It matches the Rfam family "Bacterial small subunit ribosomal RNA", at positions 509 to 807 of the family's 1533-position model. The record is from RNAcentral.